Non-coding RNA from Rattus norvegicus (Norway rat), 2045 nucleotides. Lineage: Eukaryota; Metazoa; Chordata; Mammalia; Rodentia; Muridae. The record is from RefSeq and is a predicted model, not a curated record.
GUUUGUGAAUUGUGAGCUCUCAGAGGUUCCUGAUGCCGUCCAUGCCUUUUCUUCUGCCAUCAUGGAUUCUACCCCUCUGAAACAGUCCUCCUAACAUGUUGAUGCAGCCUGACCUGGAUAAUCACGAUUACCGUUAAUGCUGAAGAGAGCAGACAUCACCCUCUAUGUGACAGGCCUGGACAUCUGCAGUCCUACCUUUUCGAGGCAUAAUGACAGAGUAUUCUGAGCAGUUCAGAAGGGGUAGGUCGUUCUUGAGGCACUAACACUCGGAAUCAUGGGUAAAGCGAACACUUUGCUUUCCUCUAAAAUUCAGUGUGCAGUUAGUUGGCUCCGUGCUUGGUGUCUGUGGCACCACCAUACAUUACGGCAGAGAGCACAGUUAUUUAACUCAUGGUGGCUGAGAAGCAAGGAGAGACGAGAGCAAGCCAGGACCCCACUAUCUCCUUUAAGGAUACACCUACAAUGACAUAACAUCCUACCUAGGUCCCACCUUACAUAAAGUUUGUACCAACUUUGAAUUGUGCCAUCAGGCUGGGAACCAAACCUUUUACAUGUAAGUCAUUGGGGCUUGGUGGGGGGAGCAGUUCCAAAUUGCUACAGGAAGUAAGGAAGGCCCGAUGUUACAAGGCAAUGAGUCUUAGAGACUAUGGAAAUAUUGGUAAAGGAGAAAUUCCCCUAACCCUGUAGAUAUUGUAGGUGAAGUGAAGUCUGGCCUCCUAUUUGUUAAAGGCAUUUAGAAGUCUACCUUGACAUUCCUUUUAAAGACCCCCCACCUCUCUGCCUGCCACAGCACGUAGGAAACACUUCAGAGUUCAUUACAAAUGACCACCUCCCAGAGCACUGGUUAAGGACAACCAGACAGGAGGAAUUACAGUUGUUGCAUCAAAAAUAACCUUUUUUGAUAUUAUUUUUGAUCAAAGUGAAGUGACUAUAGCAAUAACCUUUCAGCUGGGAACUGUUAUGGUUUUCUUUCUUCUUAGGCACCUUCCUUUGAAACACCUUGUCUCUAGGACUCUAAGCCAACUUCUCCUUUGUCAGCACCUUUCAAAAGAUGAUUUCACAGAAACAGUACUAACACGAACCCUGGACACCCUGUUUCUUCUCUAUUUUGUUCAUUCUUGGUGUUUAUCCUCCCCUGAGUUGUACAGGAACCAAUACCACUCUUUCUCUACACAAGGGAAAAAAAAUCCAGCCUUCAGUCUUUACCUGGUGUGUGCUUCCAACACAUGGCAAAAGUUCAAAACUCCCCUCUCUUGGGAAUAGCUAAGUCCAUCACCUGCCUCGGUGCAUGCCUAUAUGCCACAUGUCUUUAUCCUUCCUGUGAGUCUAUAAGACCAGUGGAUAAUUUCUGAGUUUACCUACAUCGGGAAAACAAGAGGCCCACUCAUUUUCUCAUUACAUUUCUCCUAUUGUACUGGUCUGACAAAACCACCUCUGUCCUUACCCUAUUCAUUUUGUCCUUUGCAAUGGUGUUCGGAUUAUGCCAGAGUGAGCAUUUGUACAAAAAAUCAUGAGAUGCUAUGGUUUAGGUAAGUGUAUUUCAUGAAAACGUCAGGUAUGCAUAUGAUGGGUGUUGUUUAAGAUCUGUAUGUAAACAGUUGAAAGACUUUUGAGACAAUUAACUAUCUUGCAUGCUUGUAGCUGCAUUGUAUGCUCAAAUCCUCAAAUAGGAAGGCAUGAUGACUCCAUGGUGUCUGUCCUCCUGUGCCAAUUGGUAGAUUCAACCACAUUUCAAGUGAAGUGAAACUGAGAAAAAACAAAUAUAUAAAUCUGUCAAUAGAAGAUGUUGCUAUAUUGAGAAUCUUCAGAGACUUUUGAAGAUAACCAGGCUAGGUUUUCUUGAGCAAGGAUUUUUCUAACAUUUUGAUAUUAAAGCAAGCAGAGAUGGGACUAUGGGAAGGGCCCUUACAGAGACUGAAGCUGCGGCUUCAAUUUCAUCAAUGACAUAGACCUUCCCAGUGACUUAGACUCCCUCUGAACCUAGUUCACCAGAGUCUUGGUUGUUUUGAUUUUCUAUAACCAUCCAAACGUUAAUAAAAUCCAAA